Small nucleolar RNA from Myripristis murdjan (pinecone soldierfish), 326 nucleotides. The record is from Ensembl. NCBI's taxonomy places the organism in Eukaryota, Metazoa, Chordata, Actinopteri, Holocentriformes, Holocentridae.
GCCCAGUGACGAGAUCAUGGCAAGUGUGAGCUUGUCAGGCCAAGAGAUUGUUCUCUCUUGCCUGCUACUUGGUCGGUAGUCUUGGCAGUGUGGUGGAGUUUUGUUGCACUGCUGUAAGGGCCCACCUACAUGUAAUUUGUAGCUCUCUUCUCAGCCCCCCCCAACAGUAAUGGGAAAGGACAAGUCAGAGGCUUCAAACAGUGCGUGGGUGUUUUUUGUUGUGUGUCUUGUAUGAAUGUAUGUGUAUCAGCUGGCAAGAGGUUACAGUCUCUAAUGUGGAUGGCAUUUGACAGCUGUGAACUUAAAUCUUUGGUAAUCUGAGGGCG